Microcebus murinus (gray mouse lemur) is the source of this 64-nucleotide small nuclear RNA. Its record names the gene U7. It matches the Rfam family "U7 small nuclear RNA". From Rfam's summary of the family: Animal histone pre-mRNAs are spliced by a different mechanism than nuclear pre-mRNAs and self-splicing introns. This processing involves the U7 snRNP, which contains only one RNA species: U7. The 5' end of U7 RNA is thought to base-pair to a conserved spacer element downstream of the cleavage site in histone pre-mRNA. The record is from Ensembl. Lineage: Eukaryota; Metazoa; Chordata; Mammalia; Primates; Cheirogaleidae.
GAGUGCUACAGCUCUUUCAGAAUGUGUCUAGUAGGUUUUCUAGUUUCCACCAGAAAAUACCCCA